RNAcentral lists this long non-coding RNA (1106 nucleotides) under Equus caballus (horse). Its description in RNAcentral is "lncRNA (ENSECAG00000041523.2)". Lineage: Eukaryota; Metazoa; Chordata; Mammalia; Perissodactyla; Equidae. The record is from RNAcentral.
UGACCUUCCAUAAGGUGGGUGGUCCUCAUUCAAUCAGUUCAAGGCCUUAAAAGCAAAAACUGAGAUUUUCCAAAGAAGAAGAGAUUCUCCUCAAGACCACACGUAGGAACCUGCCUGAGUUUCCAGCCUGCUGCUCUGCAGAAUUCACUCAUGACCGUAAUAUCAGCUCUUACCCGAAUCUCCAGCCUGCCGGCCUGCCCUGCAGAUUUCAGACUUGCCAACCCCCACAGUUGGUGAACCAAUUCCUUAAAAUAAAGGAAUCUGUUCCCCCCAUAAGAAUGGGACUUCAUCACCAUGAAGGGCGACGUGAGCGGGCCCUGGAGCCUUUUGUUAACUCCGCGCCUGCAUCUCCCUCUGUAAAAUGAGACCCUGUGCCCACACAGGACGAUGGAGAGGACCGGUUGAGACUGCCCAGGCAGAGCACUUCACAGACUACACCGUCAGUAAAUGCUGGAAAAAGAAAGCCCUAUGACCCCUGCUCUUCAGGAGGAAACAGAACAACCGGCCUUGUCAAAUUUGCUCUUAUAGCAUCGAAGAAGGCAGGAGAAGCGAGUGGCAGUGGUAUGAUCUGCAGGGGGCACCGGCUCUGCUCUGGAGUGCUGGGUCUGGUCAGCGGGAAUGCUGGCCUCUGGCUGAAGGCUUCAGCCUAUAAUAUUGCACUUCACCACCUGUCGCCCAGGCUUAUUAGUCCACGGCAGCAAAUGGACAUGCCUAAUGACAGACGCAGCCCUGUGUGCAGACCGUGAGGGCCUGAGGCUGGUUCCAAAAACAAUGUCCACCCAGAGGAUGGAGACAGGCUGGCCAAUCCAUUCUCAGGCUGGAAAGGAGGCCUGCGGCUCUGGACAGAUGGCUCUGACCUCUUUUGUCCUGCUCAGCCCGGGAGGAAUUGUCCUUCUGUGCAUGGAGCUCAUUCUCUUGCCCUUCUUCAACAAACCAGUGAAGAAAUCCUCCUGGUUUUGAAUAUAUAGUGGAAAGGGGGGAGGGCAAUUUGUAAGCCUCCUUAGGAGGGUGGGUCCUGCUCAAUGACAGUCCCUUCUGGAUACGCCACAGUGGCUGGGAGCUGGAUUGGAGAAGAGGAUCUGGGCACUAGAGAAAGCAAAGAGGGG